RNAcentral lists this ribosomal RNA (253 nucleotides) under uncultured bacterium. RNAcentral's name for it is "partial 16S ribosomal RNA". It matches the Rfam family "Bacterial small subunit ribosomal RNA", at positions 524 to 776 of the family's 1533-position model. The record is from RNAcentral.
UACGGAGUGUGCAAGCGUUACUCGGAAUCACUGGGCAUAAAGAGCACGUAGGUGGAAUCGCAUGUCGGUGGUGAAAUCCCCCAGCUCAACUGGGGAGCUGCUUCCGAAACUGCAAUUCUUGAGGACGAGAGGGGAGAGUGGAACUUCUGGUGGAGCGGUGAAAUGCGUAGAUAUCAGAAGGAACACCGGUGGCGAAAGCGACUCUCUGGCUCGUAUCUGACACUGAGGUGCGAAAGCGUGGGUAGCAAACAGG